Molecule: non-coding RNA, 743 nt
Filed under: Pan troglodytes (chimpanzee)
Lineage: Eukaryota; Metazoa; Chordata; Mammalia; Primates; Hominidae
Source: RNAcentral
GAUCAGCCCUGGGGUUCAGAGGGAUCCUGACGGCUACUCCUCAAGAUCCUCUCUGUUGUGAUUCAUCCCCCCCGGGCCCUACAGUUUCUCCUUCCUGACUCUUACAUUUCUUUGGAUGGCAUCAUUAUUGCUGGAGUGCAGUGAUGUGAUCUCGGCUCACUGCAACCCCUGCUUCCUGGAUUCAAGCAAUUUUCCUGCCUCACCCUCCCAAGUAGCUGGGAUUACAGUACCUGUCUCCUCCCAUAGUUAGGUGCCAAGCACUGUGGAUUCUGCCCCUCAGUGUCCAGACACCCAUUUUCCUUCCCACUGUUCCUUCCCCAUGGAGAAGCCUGUGGCUGGCUGACAGCAGAGAGAGAUGCUCAACUUGGAGAAGGUGUUACCUGGGCCAGGUGGGGAAGGUUUGUUUGCAGAGCAAAGAAGUGAAGCCUAUUCAACGUGAAAAAGAUGAGGAUGAAGACCUUUAUUAUGAUCCACUUCCAAGUAAUGAACACACUGGAGAAAGUCAGACAGUCAAAACAAUGUCCCAGACUCCGUGAAGUUCCUGGGUAGAGAAGGAGACAGACAUAUACCAUACCUAAUAAUUGGAUGUCCGAGAGAAUGAGAGAAUGGCAGAAAGAACUUUAGAGCAUGGGUAUGAUGGCUAGAGCUUGAGCAGCCAUUGUGGACAUCAGAUGAACUUGAAAGUGAAAACUAUGAGCUGAAUACGACAAAGCAAACAGAUAGAAAACUGGAUUCAUUAUGAC